RNAcentral lists this unclassified non-coding RNA (198 nucleotides) under uncultured Tomentella. RNAcentral's name for it is "sequence contains ITS1". The record is from RNAcentral. Lineage: Eukaryota; Fungi; Basidiomycota; Agaricomycetes; Thelephorales; Thelephoraceae.
CUGAAUUGUCAACAAGAGUUGUUGCUGGUCCUCGAAUGGGGGCAUGUGCACGCUCUGUUCACACAUCCACUCACACCCUGUGCACUCUCUGUAGUUCUGUGGUUGGGAGGCCUGCCCUCCCGCUGUGGUUCUGCAUCUUUACAUACACACUGUAACAAAGUCUCAUGGAAUGCAUGCCGCGUUUAACGCAAUACAAUA